RNAcentral lists this small RNA (27 nucleotides) under Bombyx mori (domestic silkworm). Its description in RNAcentral is "piRNA piR-bmo-1681491". The record is from RNAcentral. Lineage: Eukaryota; Metazoa; Arthropoda; Insecta; Lepidoptera; Bombycidae.
UACUACGCGGAGCUCGCGAUCCUCCUG